This is a long non-coding RNA of Lynx canadensis (Canada lynx), 1448 nucleotides long. RefSeq lists it as uncharacterized. The record is from RefSeq and is a predicted model, not a curated record. The transcript is spliced from 3 exons. NCBI's taxonomy places the organism in Eukaryota, Metazoa, Chordata, Mammalia, Carnivora, Felidae.
CCCCGUACCUCCCAGCCUCCUCCUUGCAGCUAGGGGACGCCACGGCCCCCCCCCAGUCCCGGCCAUUCUAAGUAUGAGAAGUCAUUGGGUGUGAUUCCGGGGAAGGAUGUUGCAAAGGAACAUUUAGCCAGAUCCCUCCACUUCUUGCCCUUUGUACAAACAGACAUGAUGCCCAGUGCUCGAGAAGCCAUCCCACGGCCAUGAGGGUUGACCAUCCUGGCUCCCCAGCUGGUAUCUUUGUGUGGCUGCCCCAGACUGUUUGUUUCUGAAUAUCUUGUUACGUGGAAAAGGUUUUGCUGUCGGGAAUAAAGCUUCUGUGGAUGUUCUCGUGCAAGUCUUACGGUGAACCAGUGUUCUAACUUCUCUUGGGUGCAAGCCUGGAGUGGAAUCGCUGGGUCAUCACGUAGGCAGAUCUUGAGCUUUGGCAGAUGCUGCCAAGAGGUCUCCAAAGUGGCCGAAACAAUUUAUGCCUCCGUCAUCAGGAAAGUUUCGUUCGCUUCACAUCCUGAUAAUGCAUGCUCCUGUCAGUUUGAUUUGAGCUACGUCACUGGAUGUGGUGGGUUUUGUUGUUCCCUCUCAUCAAGAGGUGGAGUUUAUUUCUCUACCCCUUGAAGAUGCGCUUGAUCGCACGACUUUCUUUGGCCGAUGGAACGUUAUCAAACAUGGCAGGAGCAGACGCUUGAAAAACACACGCCGGGGUUUGCCCACUUGUUGUUAUGGUUCGAGUCGUAAGAGCAAAGUGUGAAGACACCUGGGCCAACCUCUCCCCUAGGAUGCGAGGGUCCUUGCUGACAGCUGGCACCACCCACGGGCAGGCGAGUGAGGCCAUCUUGGACCAUCCAGCCCCAGGCAAGCCAUCAGGUGACCUCAGCUGCACAAGUGACCCUAGGUGAGACCAUCAGAAGAACUAACUGCCCAGCUGAGUUCAGCUCAGAUUGCUGACUCACAGAAUUAGGACCGAAUUAUGAGCAUAUAAGGUAACGGACACAGGAGUGAGCGAUGGGGACAGGGCGCUGCUGUAGCAAACAUUUAAAAUGUGGCAUUGACUUUGCAAGCUGGCAGUAAGGCAGCAGCUGUAAAGGGGUGAAGAAAUUUCAGCCGGAAGCGUGAGGAAACUGCCAGACGUUAGGAAAAGGCUAUGUGGUUAUGUGGUAUGAGAACCACUGGCAAAAGUGUUGUUGUGGCAACUUGGGGAAGAUAGGCUGUGAACUUGUGGGUCUGGUUGAGGAGUGGGGGGGGGGGGGAGCUUCCCCCCAUCUCUGGCCCUCCCCCCAGCCUUCCUCAUGACCUUCUGAGCCCACGUUGGACGCCUAACCAACUGAGCCACCCAGGCGCCCUAUCGAGGUUUAUAUUUUUAUAACGGUAUUACACGAGCGGCCGUGAAACUGGAGGCAGACCGUGCGACCAGGGGAGCUAAGCAGGGUAGGAUUAAGUCACCUCCCAGGAUU